RNAcentral lists this ribosomal RNA (253 nucleotides) under uncultured bacterium. Its description in RNAcentral is "partial 16S ribosomal RNA". It matches the Rfam family "Bacterial small subunit ribosomal RNA", at positions 524 to 776 of the family's 1533-position model. The record is from RNAcentral.
GACGGAGGAUGCAAGCGUUAUCCGGAAUGAUUGGGCGUAAAGCGUCCGCAGGUGGCAGUUCAAGUCUGCUGUCAAAGACCGGGGCUUAACUUCGGAAAGGCAGUGGAAACUGAACAGCUAGAGUAUGGUAGGGGCAGAGGGAAUUCCUGGUGUAGCGGUGAAAUGCGUAGAGACCAGGAAGAACAUCGGUGGCGAAGGCGCUCUGCUGGACCAUAACUGACACUCAGGGACGAAAGCUAGGGGAGCGAAUGGG